Molecule: ribosomal RNA, 523 nt
Filed under: uncultured bacterium
Lineage: Bacteria
Description: bacterial SSU rRNA
Rfam family: Bacterial small subunit ribosomal RNA
Source: RNAcentral
CCAGAGAACUUUCCAGAGAUGGAUUGGUGCCGUUCGGGAACUCUGAGACAGGUGCUGCAUGGCUGUCGUCAGCUCGUGUUGUGAAAUGGUUGGGUUAAGUCCCGCAACGAGCGCAACCCUUAUCCUUUGUUGCCAGCGGUUAGGCCGGGAACUCAAAGGAGACUGCCAGUGAUAAACUGGAGGAAGGUGGGGAUGACGUCAAGUCAUCAUGGCCCUUACGAGUAGGGCUACACACGUGCUACAAUGGCGCAUACAAAGAGAAGCGACCUCGCGAGAGCAAGCGGACCUCAUAAAGUGCGUCGUAGUCCGGAUUGGAGUCUGCAACUCGACUCCAUGAAGUCGGAAUCGCUAGUAAUCGUGGAUCAGAAUGCCACGGUGAAUACGUUCCCGGGCCUUGUACACACCGCCCGUCACACCAUGGGAGUGGGUUGCAAAAGAAGUAGGUAGCUUAACCUUCGGGAGGGCGCUUACCACUUUGUGAUUCAUGACUGGGGUGAAGUCGUAACAAGGUAAGCGUAGUGCU